RNAcentral lists this unclassified non-coding RNA (355 nucleotides) under soil metagenome. Its description in RNAcentral is "partial contains 5.8S ribosomal RNA, internal transcribed spacer 2, and large subunit ribosomal RNA". The stretch from base 1 to 120 matches the Rfam family "5.8S ribosomal RNA", at positions 35 to 154 of the family's 154-position model. The record is from RNAcentral.
GAUGAAGAACGUAUCGAAAUGCGAUAAGUAGUGUGAAUUGCAGAAUUCAGUGAAUCAUCGAAUCUUUGAACGCACAUUGCGCCUUCUAGUAUUCUGGGAGGCAUGCCUGUUUGAGCGUCAUUAAACCUCUCUCAAGUAUGAUUACUUGGAUGUGAAGGAAGAGUACCUUAAACUUAAGGAGUGUUCUCCUUUGAAAUUGAUUAGCAGAUGGUAAUGUUAUUAAAUCCCUGAUGUUGUAAGAAAUAACAGUGGUUUUGUAGACUAUUAUCUAGCUUUAAAUUAUAAUUUUUAUUAUGGUUGACCUCAAAUCAGGUAAGGAUACCCGCUGAACUUAAGCAUAUCAAUAAGCGGAGGA